RNAcentral lists this long non-coding RNA (811 nucleotides) under Physcomitrium patens. RNAcentral describes it as "long non-coding RNA (PPAT_LNC011753)". Lineage: Eukaryota; Viridiplantae; Streptophyta; Bryopsida; Funariales; Funariaceae. The record is from RNAcentral.
AUUUCUAAGAUCUUUUGCAACAAGUUGAUUAGAUUGAAGUGAAAAUUUUUUAUAUGGAUAUUAGACUUGAUUUCCAAAAUUUAGGUGAAAUUUGAGAGCAAUUCAAUAAUCCAAGGAAAUAUUAGCACUAGAAAUUCAGCAUUGAGGUUGGAGUAGGAGGCCGCCCAACACCCGAUUGGAUUAUCUUAUAUUUCUCUCAAUUGAUAAGUGCAAUUGAUUUUAUCUUUUUUGUGCUUUUUUUUAACUAAGAUAUUAAAAAAUAUGCAAAUUUUGAGUUCAUAUCAAUAGUUUGAUCAUUAAUUGUUGAAGUUCUAUUUUGCUAUAGGAUUUGUUAAGUUUUGGUUUAGGAUUUGGUUUAAGAUUUGGUUUAGAACUUUUUAAGGAUUUUUCUAAGAUUUAUGAUUUCAUUAGAGAUUCAUUAGGAUUUGACGUAGGAUUUGAUUAAAUUUCAAUUAGGAUUUCAAUUAGGAUUUGACCUAGGAUUUGGUUAAUCUUAAUUAGGAUUUUAAUUAGAGUUUGACCUAAGAUUUGGAUUAAGAUCUAAUUAAGGUUUUCAUUAGGAUUAUAUUCAAAUUUAUAUUUUUAAUAUUUUUUUAGAAUUCUUUAUAUUAUUUCUGUAAAAACUUUUAAAUUUAUUUUAAUAGGUUAAAAUUUUAUUGGAUUUAUUAAGAAUUACUUGAAGUAUAUUAAAAGGUCUAUUAGACUUAGUAGAAUUAUUGUCGCAUUUUUACAUACCUUCCACAAUUAAGUGCUCAAUGCAUUUUCAAGCAAAAAUAUAUGUAAUACAACAAAGUAUUGAUAUCUUAAGGAA